GCACUUCUGAAGAGUCCCAAAAUUGGACGCAACAGCUGUCCAGUAC
This 46-nucleotide non-coding RNA is filed under the name Trichobilharzia regenti. Lineage: Eukaryota; Metazoa; Platyhelminthes; Trematoda; Strigeidida; Schistosomatidae. The record is from RNAcentral.